RNAcentral lists this ribosomal RNA (429 nucleotides) under Pseudomonadota bacterium. Its description in RNAcentral is "Proteobacteria bacterium partial 16S ribosomal RNA". It matches the Rfam family "Bacterial small subunit ribosomal RNA", at positions 355 to 776 of the family's 1533-position model. Lineage: Bacteria; Pseudomonadati; Pseudomonadota. The record is from RNAcentral.
UGGGGAAUAUUGGACAAUGGGCGAAAGCCUGAUCCAGCCAUGCCGCGUGUGUGAAGAAGGUCUUCGGAUUGUAAAGCACUUUAAGUUGGGAGGAAGGGCAGUAAGCGAAUACCUUGCUGUUUUGACGUUACCGACAGAAUAAGCACCGGCUAACUCUGUGCCAGCAGCCGCGGUAAUACAGAGGGUGAAAGCGUUAAUCGGAAUUACUGGGCGUAAAGCGCGCGUAGGUGGUUCGUUAAGUUGAAUGUGAAAGCCCCGGGCUCAACCUGGGAACUGCAUCCAAAACUGGCGAGCUAGAGUAGGGCAGAGGGUGGUGGAAUUUCCUGUGUAGCGGUGAAAUGCGUAGAUAUAGGAAGGAACACCAGUGGCGAAGGCGACCACCUGGGCUCAUACUGACACUGAGGUGCGAAAGCGUGGGGAGCAAACAGG